RNAcentral lists this ribosomal RNA (93 nucleotides) under Caerostris darwini. Lineage: Eukaryota; Metazoa; Arthropoda; Arachnida; Araneae; Araneidae. The record is from RNAcentral.
AUAUACCGGUUCUCGUUAGAUCACCGAAGUCAAGCAUCAUUGGGCGCGGUCAGUACUUGGGUGGGUGACCACCUGGGAACACCGCGUGCCGUU